CGGAGAGUUUGAUCCUGGCUCAGAACGAACGCUGGCGGCGUGGAUUAGGCAUGCAAGUCGAACGCGAAAGAGGGGGCAACUCCUCGAGUAGAGUGGCGAACGGGUGAGUAACGCGUGAGAAACCUGCCUUCGACAGGGGGAUAACACUCCCAACGGGGUGCUAAUACCGCAUGAGACCACGUGGCUGCAUGGCCCUGAGGUCAAAGGUGGCCUCUAUUUAUAAGCUACCGGUCGAAGAUGGUCUCGCGUCCCAUUAGCUAGUUGGCGGGGUAACGGCCCACCAAGGCGACGAUGGGUAGCUGGUCUGAGAGGAUGGUCAGCCACACUGGGACUGAGAUACGGCCCAGACUCCUACGGGAGGCAGCAGUCGAGAGGCUUCGGCAAUGGGGGAAACCCUGACCGAGCGACGCCGCGUGGAGGAUGAAGGCCCUUGGGUUGUAAACUCCUUUUGUUGGGGAAGAAGUGCGAUCAGGUGAACAAUCUGGUCGUUUGACGGUACCCGACGAAUAAGCUCCGGCUAACUCCGUGCCAGCAGCCGCGGUAACACGGGGGGAGCAAGCGUUGUUCGGAAUCACUGGGCGUAAAGGGCGUGUAGGCGGUCAGGUAAGUGGGAUGUGAAAUGCCCCGGCUCACCCGGGGACCUGCAUCCCAAACUGCUUGGCUUGAGUACGGGAGAGGAUGGAGGAAUUCCUGGUGUAGCGGUGAAAUGCGUAGAUAUCAGGAGGAACACCGGUGGCGAAGGCGUCCAUCUGGCCCGAUACUGACGCUGAGGCGCGAAAGCUAGGGGAGCGAACGGGAUUAGAUACCCCGGUAGUCCUAGCCGUAAACGGUGAGCACUAGGUGUUGGAGGCAUCGACCCCUCCAGUGCCGCAGCUAACGCAUUAAGUGCUCCGCCUGGGGAGUACGGCCGCAAGGUUGAAACUCAAAGGAAUUGACGGGGGCCCGCACAAGCGGUGGAGCAUGUGGUUUAAUUCGACGCAACGCGAAGAACCUUACCCAGGCUUGACAUGCACCGGACGGGUGUGGAAACACACCUUUCCUUCGGGACCGGUGCACAGGUGCUGCAUGGCUGUCGUCAGCUCGUGUCGUGAGAUGUUGGGUUAAGUCCCGCAACGAGCGCAACCCUUGUCCUUAGUUGCUAACGGAUAAUGCUGAGCACUCUAAGGAGACUGCCGGUGAUAAACCGGAGGAAGGUGGGGAUGACGUCAAGUCCUCAUGGCCCUUACGCCUGGGGCUACACACGUGCUACAAUGGCCGGUACAGAGGGUUCCGAAUCCGCGAGGUGGAGGCAAUCCCAAAAAACCGGUCUCAGUUCGGAUUGCAGUCUGCAACUCGACUGCAUGAAGUCGGAAUCGCUAGUAAUCGCUGAUCAGCAGGCAGCGGUGAAUACGUUCCCGGGCCUUGUACACACCGCCCGUCAAGCCACGAAAGUCGGCAGCACCCGAAGUCGCUGUGCUAACCGCAAGGAGGCAGGCGCCUAAGGUGAGGCCGGUGAUUGGGGCUAAGUCGUAACAAGGUAGCCGUACCGGAAGGUGCGGCUGGAUCACCUCCUUUCUA
Molecule: ribosomal RNA, 1557 nt
Filed under: Candidatus Eiseniibacteriota bacterium
Lineage: Bacteria; Candidatus Eiseniibacteriota
Description: bacterial SSU rRNA
Rfam family: Bacterial small subunit ribosomal RNA
Source: RNAcentral